CACCCCAGCCCCCUUCUCAGGCCUCGGCGGCCGAGCCCCUGCGCGGGGGCGUGGGCGGCCCCGUUCCCCGGCCCCCGUGGUGGGUUGAGCCGCCAUGUUCCCCCUUCCCCCGGCGGGGCGGGCGGCCCCGGGGGUCUCCCAGGCUGCCCCGGCAGCGCCGAGCUGGUGGGGGGGAGCUGGGGCUGGGAGCCAGAGCAGGGAACUGGGAUGGAGAACGGGGACUGGGUGUCAGGCCUGCGAGGAGGAACUGGGCCUGGGUGCCGGGACUGCGACAGGGAACCGGGACUGGGGACUGGGAUUGGGUGCCAGCGCCGGGAAGCGGAGCCGGGACCGUGGUGCUCACCGCGCAUGCGCGGGACCCUCCACCUGCUGCGCCGCCGCCGGCCGCCAGGUGCCGCCGCCACCGCCGCGGGGUGGGGCGCGUCGAGCGCGCUGACGUCACGCGCCAGCGAGGCUCCGCCUACAGCCAUGGCGGCGGCAGCGGAGGCAGAACCGGCUGCUCUUCUCCGCCCGGAGCCGCUUUCCGUGUCCCGCGGCGGCUGUGAGUCACGCCGCUUAGCCGCAGAGUUCGCAGCCUCCCUCCUUGCUGGCAGCCCGGAAGGACGUACGAAGCCGCUGGAAGCGGGCAGAGCCGAGAGGAUGAGACUGGAGUUUCCCCCUAGGUCUCACCUGGGAUGGCGUCCUGCAGGCAGCAGGUGCUUCUCCUCCACCUGGAAGAAGAGCGUGAGCAGAGGAGGAUGA
Molecule: long non-coding RNA, 741 nt
Filed under: Apteryx owenii (little spotted kiwi)
Lineage: Eukaryota; Metazoa; Chordata; Aves; Apterygiformes; Apterygidae
Description: lncRNA (ENSAOWG00000018963.1)
Source: RNAcentral